UGCCUCCUGGCUAUCGGGUGGGCCGGGACUCCCCUUCCCGACGAUCACCUGUUCGGUGCAGCUGGUGGCGA
This 71-nucleotide transfer RNA is filed under the name Cellulomonas persica. Its description in RNAcentral is "tRNA-Gly". The record is from RNAcentral. Lineage: Bacteria; Bacillati; Actinomycetota; Actinomycetes; Micrococcales; Cellulomonadaceae.